RNAcentral lists this ribosomal RNA (420 nucleotides) under uncultured Prevotella sp. RNAcentral's name for it is "bacterial SSU rRNA". It matches the Rfam family "Bacterial small subunit ribosomal RNA", at positions 354 to 768 of the family's 1533-position model. Lineage: Bacteria; Pseudomonadati; Bacteroidota; Bacteroidia; Bacteroidales; Prevotellaceae. The record is from RNAcentral.
GGGAGGAAUAUUGGGUCAAAUGGGGGCGAGAGCCUGAACCAGCCAAGUAGCGUGCAGGACGACGGCCCUAUGGGUUGUAAACUGCUUUUAUAAGGGAAUAAAGUGAGUCUCGUGAGACUUUUUGCAUGUACCUUAUGAAUAAGGACCGGCUAACUCCGUGCCAGCAGCCGCGGUAAUACGGAGGAUGCGAGCGUUAUCCGGAUUUAUUGGGUUUAAAGGGUGCGCAGGCGGCGCGCCAAGUCAGCGGUCAAAGUUCCGGGCUCAACCCGGUGUCGCCGUUGAAACUGGCGUGCUCGAGUGCGUGCGAGGAAGGCGGAAUGCGUUGUGUAGCGGUGAAAUGCAUAGAUAUGACGCAGAACUCCGAUUGCGAAGGCAGCUUUCCAGCGCGCUACUGACGCUGAGGCACGAAAGCGUGGGGAU